AAGAGUGAAAACCUUUAUUUGGAAAAGUCCGCAACAUGGAUAUGGUUCAGAAAAAAACACAGAAAGAGCAAAACUAACAUCAACAUAGAUAGGGGGCCUUUGAUAAAACGUCGAACACAUCACUAUUCUGAGGAAGGAGAGGUUUGCGUUGUUUCUAGUAAGACACAGCCCUCUGUGGCACCAAGGGGCUCUCAUGUCCAGUCCAGGCCCCAGUCUCUGCGGGAGGGAGGAGCGGACGGGGUUAGCACCGUUAAUCUCGAGGGUCUUGAGUGCAGCCAGCGCCCCUGCGAGUACUCUUUGAGGUCGGGGUCAGUGCUGGUCGGCAGCGGCCUCUAGGGCUGUGGGGCCAAGGUCCAGGCCGGUCACCAGCAGGACCCUCAGGAGACGGGGCCGAGUCACCAAGAUUUAUGUCUACAACGGCCUCCUGACCUUGGUUUCCCAAAACGAGACAGAGGCCAAUGGCUGCCCCAAGCUGAGAAGAGCUUGCUUUGACUUUAAUUGUAAAGUAACUGUUAGGUGAGGAUUGGUGGGAAAAGCCAGCUAUGGGGACAGAGGAGAGGGAGGCUAGUGCGGCACAGGCCCCGAGAGGGCGUCUGGCUCAGGCUGGUGGGACGCAGCACAGAGGUGCCUAGGGAAGAAGCUUCGCAGGCAGGAGGGAGGGUGGACAGGAGGGCAGGGCAGGAGAGCCCGGGGUGGGGAACCCAGGUGACGCCAGCUCAGGGCUGAGCCCCAGAGGGCCCUGCGCAAAGCAGGCAGCAGCGUUGUGUCCUGGCUUUCCAAGCUCUUCCUU
Nomascus leucogenys (northern white-cheeked gibbon) is the source of this 790-nucleotide long non-coding RNA. RefSeq lists it as uncharacterized. Lineage: Eukaryota; Metazoa; Chordata; Mammalia; Primates; Hylobatidae. The transcript has 2 exons. The record is from RefSeq and is a predicted model, not a curated record.